Sander lucioperca (pikeperch) is the source of this 117-nucleotide long non-coding RNA. RefSeq lists it as uncharacterized. The record is from RefSeq and is a predicted model, not a curated record. Lineage: Eukaryota; Metazoa; Chordata; Actinopteri; Perciformes; Percidae. The transcript has 3 exons.
GGUAGAGUUGUCGUCUACCAAUUGGAAGGUUGGUAGUCCGAUCCCUGGCACUGCAGUCUACAUGUCGAAGUGUCCUUGGGCAAGACACUGAAUCCCGAAUUACUCCCGAUGCUGCAC